UACAGAGGGUGCGAGCGUUGUCCGGAAUCACUGGGCGUAAAGGGCGCGUAGGCGGCUUGAUAAGCGUGCGGUGAAAGCCCGGGGCUCAACCCCGGGUCGGCCGUGCGAACUGUCGAGCUGGAGCACUGUAGAGGCAGGUGGAAUCCCGGGUGUAGCGGUGGAAUGCGUAGAGAUCCGGAAGAACACCGGUGGCGAAGGCGGCCUGCUGGGCAGUGGCUGACGCUGAGGCGCGACAGCGUGGGGAGCAAACAGG
RNAcentral lists this ribosomal RNA (253 nucleotides) under uncultured bacterium. RNAcentral's name for it is "partial 16S ribosomal RNA". It matches the Rfam family "Bacterial small subunit ribosomal RNA", at positions 524 to 776 of the family's 1533-position model. The record is from RNAcentral.